CCUACGGGACGCAGCAGUGGGGAAUAUUGCGCAAUGGGCGAAAGCCUGACGCAGCGACGCCGCGUGAGGGAUGAAGGUCUUCGGAUCGUAAACCUCUGUCAGCAGGGAAGAACGGUCACUGUGCUAAUCAGCAGUGAAUUGACGGUACCUGCAAAGGAAGCACCGGCUAACUCCGUGCCAGCAGCCGCGGUAAUACGGAGGGUGCGUGCGUUAAUCGGAAUUACUGGGCGUAAAGCGCUCGUAGGCGGUAUGUCAAGUCAAGGGUGAAAUCCCCGCGCUCAACGUGGGAACUGCCUUUGAAACUGGCAAACUGGAGUGUGUGAGAGGAUAGUGGAAUUCGAGGUGUAGGAGUGAAAUGCGUAGAUAUCUGGAGGAACAUCAAUGGCGAAGGCGACUAUCUGGCACAUAACUGACGCUGAGGAGCGAAAGCGUGGGUAGCAAACAGGAUUAGAUACCCCUGUAGUC
RNAcentral lists this ribosomal RNA (465 nucleotides) under uncultured bacterium. RNAcentral describes it as "partial 16S ribosomal RNA". It matches the Rfam family "Bacterial small subunit ribosomal RNA", at positions 338 to 795 of the family's 1533-position model. The record is from RNAcentral.